This 1610-nucleotide long non-coding RNA is filed under the name Homo sapiens (human). Its description in RNAcentral is "HSALNT0408831". Lineage: Eukaryota; Metazoa; Chordata; Mammalia; Primates; Hominidae. The record is from RNAcentral.
CUCAAGGAAAGAGAGGGAGUGCCAAGCUGUUACUGUUUACCCUCUGGCCCAGAUCUUUCUUCAGAAGAAACCUGAGUGGUCUCACAGUUUAUCUCUUACACAGGGGUUUGGAGUAAGAUUCAUACCUGCUUCACCAGUGAUUUUCAAAGGAGGCAAAUCCUAUUUGAAGCUAAAGUCACAUAAAGAGAUUUGGAAUGAGGAAACAAAUUAUAGCAGCCUGCAAGUUGUAGAAUGAAGAAAUGCAAAUGUAAAGUACUGAACUUUGUCAUGGAUAGAUUUACCAAAGAGAAUUACUCUGCAUAACAUGAAUAAUGGAGUUCAGAAGGAAGCCCAUAUCCCAGACUUCCUCGGUUGUGCUGUUUUACUGAGGUUGGGUGGAGUCAACACAUCAUGGAUAAAGAAGUCCCUAAAGGCAGUCCCAGGGAGCCCGCACUGAACAUCAAGAAGUCAGACAAAUCCUUCAAACGCAAGAAGCCCACCGAAAAUGUGCUGAUCUUUUUAAUCAACAGACAACUGGGCAGGCACAGAAGUGACAUCGACCUGUCAAGAUGGGUGUGGAUGCUGUCAUAAAGCAACUCUAGGGUGGACAUGGCCUUGGACAAAAAGUCAUGUGGCUUACGUGCUGAAGCCUGCCCAUAUUUUUGAGAAAUUAAAUAUAAUUAGAACAAUAAACUCCUCCCAUGUUUGAGUCAUUAAAACAGAGUCUGUCAUUUCACUCCUUGAGGUUGGAUGUGUGUUUGCUGACAGGGUGUUCUUGGGUUACACUGGAAGGGGCUUCUGUUCAUCCUAACACGCUGUGCAGGGGUGCUUAGACCCAGGGGAGAGGGUGAGAUCAUGCUGCACACCAGAUCUCUCCCACCAUCAAUCUGAAAAACACUGCAAAGUCAAAGUGAUGUAGUACUUGGCAUUUAAGGACCAAAGACUCUUCUCCCUAGCCAUUUUGAAGAGACUGCCCUGGUGUUCCCCUCUAAAACCCAAUGCUUGUCCUAGUGAAAAGACAUUGUUUAAGAGCAGACCAACAGUUGGCCUGGGGGUUUGGGAUAUGUUUUAAUACUGCCAAUGUCAUAUCCACAGAGCCUUCCAGAGGCAACCGCUCUGCCCUUUGUCCCCAGGAAAGUAUAGAAUGCUCUGGUCACUUUUUUGUGUCAUGUCAAACAAACCUGCUCAGGCCACAGCCAAAGAUAAUUCAUUUGACUGAAAUGAAGCCACCUGGUAGGACAACAACACACAUGAGAUGGCUCCCAUUGAAGAAGCUCUGUCCCCAAGGAAUGUGCUGAGCAAGUCAGAUACUCAUUCUGAGAAACCUGAAAUGGGAACUAUGUGGGCAAUUGGUCACUGACAAGUGAGAGUUAAAGCUGAAGAGGGGACAGGGAGAGCAAAGAGGUCAGAGCCGUGGCAAACAUGGGCAAGCCUAAGUGAGGAGUAAGAUGAAAUUUACAUAAGGUGAACCAUUAAAGCCAUCACAGAUUCCAAGCAUUUCUCUUGUCCUUUCACGUGAGCUGCAAAAUAAGCCCCUGCAAGCAGUCCUCUGUCCCCUCUUCCCCUCCUCCCCAAUUCCCUGUGUUCUCACAACCUGUCCAGCAUUCCCCAAGGCCCCUUCCUGUGUCCCC